CCCUUAGAUGUUCUGGGCCGCACGCGCGCUACACUGAUGCAUUCAACGAGUUUCUUCCUGGUCCGAGAGGAAUGGGUAACCUUUUGAAAGUGCAUCGUGAUAGGGAUAGACUAUUGCAAUUAUUGGUCUUCAACGAGGAAUUCCUAGUAGACGUAGUUCAUCAGACUGCAUCGAUUACGUCCCUGCCAUUUGUACACACCGCCCGUCGCUCCUACCGAUUGAAUGCUCAGGUGAGCCAUUCGGACUUUCAUCAUGCUGGUUUCCAGUUUUGAUGAAGGAAAGUCUUGCGAACCUUAUCAUUUAGAGGAAGGAGAAGUCGUAACA
This 324-nucleotide ribosomal RNA is filed under the name uncultured eukaryote. RNAcentral's name for it is "partial 18S ribosomal RNA". It matches the Rfam family "Eukaryotic small subunit ribosomal RNA", at positions 1470 to 1796 of the family's 1831-position model. The record is from RNAcentral.